RNAcentral lists this ribosomal RNA (1414 nucleotides) under Mycolicibacterium mucogenicum. Its description in RNAcentral is "bacterial SSU rRNA". It matches the Rfam family "Bacterial small subunit ribosomal RNA". The record is from RNAcentral. Lineage: Bacteria; Bacillati; Actinomycetota; Actinomycetes; Mycobacteriales; Mycobacteriaceae.
GGGGCGGCGGCUUACCAUGCAGUCGACGGAAAGGCCCUUCGGGGUACUCGAGUGGCGAACGGGUGAGUAACACGUGGGUGAUCUGCCCUGCACUUUGGGAUAAGCCUGGGAAACUGGGUCUAAUACCGAAUAGGACCACGCGCUUCAUGGUGUGUGGUGGAAAGCUUUUGCGGUGUGGGAUGGGCCCGCGGCCUAUCAGCUUGUUGGUGGGGUAAUGGCCUACCAAGGCGACGACGGGUAGCCGGCCUGAGAGGGUGACCGGCCACACUGGGACUGAGAUACGGCCCAGACUCCUACGGGAGGCAGCAGUGGGGAAUAUUGCACAAUGGGCGCAAGCCUGAUGCAGCGACGCCGCGUGAGGGAUGACGGCCUUCGGGUUGUAAACCUCUUUCAAUAGGGACGAAGCGCAAGUGACGGUACCUAUAGAAGAAGCACCGGCCAACUACGUGCCAGCAGCCGCGGUAAUACGUAGGGUGCGAGCGUUGUCCGGAAUUACUGGGCGUAAAGAGCUCGUAGGUGGUUUGUCGCGUUGUUCGUGAAAACUCACAGCUUAACUGUGGGCGUGCGGGCGAUACGGGCAGACUAGAGUACUGCAGGGGAGACUGGAAUUCCUGGUGUAGCGGUGGAAUGCGCAGAUAUCAGGAGGAACACCGGUGGCGAAGGCGGGUCUCUGGGCAGUAACUGACGCUGAGGAGCGAAAGCGUGGGGAGCGAACAGGAUUAGAUACCCUGGUAGUCCACGCCGUAAACGGUGGGUACUAGGUGUGGGUUCCUUCCUUGGGAUCCGUGCCGUAGCUAACGCAUUAAGUACCCCGCCUGGGGAGUACGGCCGCAAGGCUAAAACUCAAAGGAAUUGACGGGGGCCCGCACAAGCGGCGGAGCAUGUGGAUUAAUUCGAUGCAACGCGAAGAACCUUACCUGGGUUUGACAUGCACAGGACGCCGGCAGAGAUGUCGGUUCCCUUGUGGCCUGUGUGCAGGUGGUGCAUGGCUGUCGUCAGCUCGUGUCGUGAGAUGUUGGGUUAAGUCCCGCAACGAGCGCAACCCUUGUCCUAUGUUGCCAGCGGGUUAUGCCGGGGACUCGUAGGAGACUGCCGGGGUCAACUCGGAGGAAGGUGGGGAUGACGUCAAGUCAUCAUGCCCCUUAUGUCCAGGGCUUCACACAUGCUACAAUGGCCGGUACAAAGGGCUGCGAUGCCGUGAGGUGGAGCGAAUCCUUUCAAAGCCGGUCUCAGUUCGGAUCGGGGUCUGCAACUCGACCCCGUGAAGUCGGAGUCGCUAGUAAUCGCAGAUCAGCAACGCUGCGGUGAAUACGUUCCCGGGCCUUGUACACACCGCCCGUCACGUCAUGAAAGUCGGUAACACCCGAAGCCGGUGGCCUAACCCUUGUGGAGGGAGCCGUCGAAGCGACCCCCU